This 274-nucleotide ribosomal RNA is filed under the name uncultured bacterium. RNAcentral describes it as "partial 16S ribosomal RNA". It matches the Rfam family "Bacterial small subunit ribosomal RNA", at positions 523 to 796 of the family's 1533-position model. The record is from RNAcentral.
AUACGGAGGGUGCAAGCGUUACUCGGAAUCACUGGGCGUAAAGGACGCGUAGGCGGGUUGGUAAGUCAGGUGUGAAAUCCUACAGCUUAACUGUAGAACUGCACUUGAAACUACCAACCUAGAGUAUGGGAGGGGGAGAUGGAAUUAGUGGUGUAGGGGUAAAAUCCGUAGAUGUCACUAGGAAUACCGAAAGCGAAGGCGAUCUCCUGGAACAUAACUGACGCUAAGGCGUGAAAGCGUGGGGAGCAAACAGGAUUAGAAACCCCAGUAGUCC